This 86-nucleotide unclassified non-coding RNA is filed under the name Kaistella jeonii. RNAcentral describes it as "Chryseobacterium jeonii Flavo-1 RNA". Lineage: Bacteria; Pseudomonadati; Bacteroidota; Flavobacteriia; Flavobacteriales; Weeksellaceae. The record is from RNAcentral.
UUUUAGUAGUAAUCGCAGUGGUAGCUUUUUUUAUCCGAAGAAAUUUUUACGGGAUCAAAAGGUUUCAAAUGAAAGAACUAUUCGGU